This 32-nucleotide non-coding RNA is filed under the name Mus musculus (house mouse). Lineage: Eukaryota; Metazoa; Chordata; Mammalia; Rodentia; Muridae. The record is from RNAcentral.
UGCAUUCUGUUUAUGAUCCUGUGCCUCUUUGC